CCUACGGGAGGCAGCAGUGGGGAAUAUUGGGCAAUGGGCGCAAGCCUGACCCAGCAACGCCGCGUGAAGGAAGAAGGCUUUCGGGUUGUAAACUUCUUUUGACAGGGAAGAGUAGAAGACGGUACCUGUCGAAUAAGCCACGGCUAACUACGUGCCAGCAGCCGAGGUAAUACGUAGGUGGCAAGCGUUGUCCGGAUUUACUGGGUGGAAAGGGCGUGUAGCCGGGUUGACAAGUCAGAUGUGAAAUCCUGCGGCUUAACCGCAGAACUGCAUUUGAAACUGUUGAUCUUGAGUACUGGAGAGGCAGGCGGAAUUCCUAGUGUAGCGGUGAAAUGCGUAGAUAUUAGGAGGAACACCAGUGGCGAAGGCGGUCUGCUGGACAGCAACUGACGGUGAGGCGCGAAAGCGUGGGGAGCAAACAGGAUUAGAUACCCGAGUAGUC
RNAcentral lists this ribosomal RNA (442 nucleotides) under uncultured bacterium. RNAcentral's name for it is "partial 16S ribosomal RNA". It matches the Rfam family "Bacterial small subunit ribosomal RNA", at positions 338 to 795 of the family's 1533-position model. The record is from RNAcentral.